This 606-nucleotide ribosomal RNA is filed under the name Riemerella anatipestifer. RNAcentral's name for it is "bacterial SSU rRNA". It matches the Rfam family "Bacterial small subunit ribosomal RNA", at positions 667 to 1279 of the family's 1533-position model. Lineage: Bacteria; Pseudomonadati; Bacteroidota; Flavobacteriia; Flavobacteriales; Weeksellaceae. The record is from RNAcentral.
UGAGUAGUGUAGCGGUGAAAUGCAUAGAUAUUACUCAGAACACCGAUUGCGAAGGCAGGUUACCAAGUUAUAACUGACGCUGAGGGACGAAAGCGUGGGGAGCGAACAGGAUUAGAUACCCUGGUAGUCCACGCCGUAAACGAUGCUAACUCGUUUUUGGGCUUUAGGGUUCAGAGACUAAGCGAAAGUGAUAAGUUAGCCACCUGGGGAGUACGACCGCAAGGUUGAAACUCAAAGGAAUUGACGGGGGCCCGCACAAGCGGUGGAUCAUGUGGUUUAAUUCGAUGAUACGCGAGGAACCUUACCAAGGCUUAAAUGGGAAUUGACAGCUGUAGAAAUACGGUUUUCUUCGGACAAUUUUCAAGGUGCUGCAUGGUUGUCGUCAGCUCGUGCCGUGAGGUGUUAGGUUAAGUCCUGCAACGAGCGCAACCCCUGUCACUAGUUGCCAUCAUUAUUUUGGGGACUCUAGUGAGACUGCCUACGCAAGUAGAGAGGAGGGUGGGGAUGACGUCAAAUCAUCACGGCCCUUACGCCUUGGGCCACACACGUGAUACAAUGGCCGGUACAGAGGGCAGCUACACUGCGAAAGUGAUGCAAAAUCUCGAA